UGUCAAGAUAGUUAAAUUAAUAACAUAACACUGAAACUGUUAAAGUAAGCCCAAUUUUCUUGGC
RNAcentral lists this transfer RNA (64 nucleotides) under Laevipilina antarctica. RNAcentral's name for it is "tRNA-Phe". Lineage: Eukaryota; Metazoa; Mollusca; Monoplacophora; Tryblidiida; Neopilinidae. The record is from RNAcentral.